UAAUCAAUAGAAUUGCCUUGGUCCUGGAGAGGUGUAAGGUUACUUAGGUAUGAAUAACGACACCAUUAUACGCCCUGGGUUUGGUGUCAAACAUGUAUUUCCAAUAUCUGCAAAUUUCAUUUGACUUGAAGUGGGCAUCUUGAGUGGUGAAAUCUACCCUGUUUUCUUAUUAAAAUGCUUGUCACUUUGUGUGGGUUUCAACUUGCUAUUACAUAAUAUUUAGCCAGCCUAACAUUGUACUUAAUACAUUGUAUGUGGUGGAUAUACCUAAUUAAUAUUUACCCAAUCCAAGUCUUGCCCUCUACAAACCUAACACAUGUAUAGCAUAUUCCAAACUCUAUGUUAUAUACUUAACAAUAUUACCUGCAAAAAGGCCAGUUGUUUCUCUUGGUCUUCUUUGCUUUAUAUUUUCUUUCAGAACCCUGGAAAUGGUCUAAGCUAAGUGUUCCAACAGUUUGGUCCUCUGAAGAAGAGCAUCAGCAUCACCUGGGAACUUGUUUAAAAUGGCAAUGCCUUCCAGGGCCCUCGGGAAGCAGAUGUUGUGGCAAGAGAGGAGGUCACUGAAUUGAUCCAACUCCAGGCGGAAAGGAUUUCGGCCUUAAAGGAGGAGAUUGCUCUUUUGCGUAGGAAAGGCAGUCUUAUCCUCCCACCCAUUCAGUCUCCACGAGAGAAAGAGAUACAGCCCGCAGACCUUUGAGUUUGCUAUUUUCUCAAACCCAUA
Molecule: long non-coding RNA, 721 nt
Filed under: Homo sapiens (human)
Lineage: Eukaryota; Metazoa; Chordata; Mammalia; Primates; Hominidae
Description: non-protein coding lnc-SPICE1-1:1
Source: RNAcentral